RNAcentral lists this ribosomal RNA (374 nucleotides) under uncultured bacterium. RNAcentral describes it as "partial 16S ribosomal RNA". It matches the Rfam family "Bacterial small subunit ribosomal RNA", at positions 509 to 879 of the family's 1533-position model. The record is from RNAcentral.
CAGCAGCCGCGGCUAAUACGGGGGGAGCAAGCGUUGUUCGGAUUUACUGGGCGUAAAGGGCGCGUAGGCGGUCAGCACAAGUCAGUUGUGAAAUCUCCGAGCUUAACUCGGAAAGGUCAACUGAUACUGUGCGACUAGAGUGCGGAAGGGGCAACUGGAAUUCUUGGUGUAGCGGUGAAGUGCGUAGAUAUCUGGAGGAACACCUGNGGCGAAGGCGGCNUUCUGGACNGNNACUGACACUGANAAACGAAAGCCAGGGGAGCAAACGGGAUUAGAUACCCCGGUAGUCCUGGCCCUAAACGAUGAAUGCUUGGUGCNNNGGGUAUCAAUCCCUGCCGUGNCNGACCUNACCCAUUAAGCAUUCCCCCUGGGGA